This is a long non-coding RNA of Anopheles gambiae (African malaria mosquito), 842 nucleotides long. RefSeq lists it as uncharacterized. The record is from RefSeq and is a predicted model, not a curated record. Lineage: Eukaryota; Metazoa; Arthropoda; Insecta; Diptera; Culicidae. The transcript is spliced from 2 exons.
UCCACUGAUGGCGUCGAGCAUCGCCGAGGAUGUGAUCGAAUGCGGAAUAUUCUAAACGAGGAGCUUCAUUCCGGAUUUUGUUUGCAAUAAGCGCUGAACUCAUCCUCCAGCUUACAACGAACGGUCAACGGAUGAGGAAGGAGAGGAGGGACGGCAAAGGUACACGCACAAACGUGCACACCUCAGCCUUGUCAGAGAACGAGAACACGGAAGGGGGAGACCGGCAACGUAGGUUCUAUACGUUCUUCAUUUACGCUCCCUCGUGCGUUCGUGCGUGCGUGCACGUGCGCGUCUGUGUGUGUGUAUGUGUGUGCAUGCCUGCGUGCGUGGCUGUGUGUGUUUUUGCCGCUUCGCUUAACGAGAUCCUACGGGAUCACCUUGUGAAAAAACACCAAGAGAGGGGGAGGGGUAGGUGUAUGUGUAUGUGUGUGUAUGUGUGCUUGCAUGCGUACGUGGUUGUGAGUGUGUUUUUUGCUGUUUCGCGAUCUCCUACGGAAUCAAAAGGGGGUGUGGGGGAAACACGAGGGGGGGGGAGGAGUGAGUUGUGUGUUUGUGUGCUAGCCUGCAUGCGUGCGUGGCUUUGUCUGUGUGUGUUUUUGCGUUCGCGUUCUCCUACGGGAUCACCUUGCGAAAAACACCAUGGGGAGGAGGUGUGUGUGUGUGUUUUCUCUUCUUUGUCGUUUCGCGCUCUCCCGUGGGUCUCCUUGUGUGCGUUAGUUUUUUUGUUUUUCAAGAAGAAAAAAAAAUACUUCGAAAAAUACCAGUGGGGAGGGUGUGUGUAUGAAUGAAAGAAUGUGCUUAGAAAAAGAAAGUAGAAAAUAAAAAAAAUAUUGAACAACGGA